Molecule: non-coding RNA, 121 nt
Organism: Hadesarchaea archaeon
Lineage: Archaea; Methanobacteriati; Hadarchaeota (SeqCode); Hadarchaeia (SeqCode)
Source: Rfam
GUUGGCGGCCACAGCGGCGAGGAAAUACCCGGUCUCGUCAGAUCCCGGAAGUCAAGCUCGCCUGCGUGUCGGGCGGUACUUUUGUGCGCAAGCCAAAGGGAAACCCGAUUCGCUGCCAACC